AUCACCCGCCUUGCCAAAGAGCUGCAUGAUGCAUGAACGGAACUGAAAGGUUGAACCAUAUCAGUUUCGGACAGAGAACAACCAAACGUACAGCGCGGAUGGCGAGCCAGACAGCAAUGUAGCAGAGGAUGAUGAUACCCAGGGGAAGGAAGCAGCAGGUGACCAUCAGGACAACCAUAGCAAAAGGACACGACUGCCAAGAGACGACGGCUCCACACCAUCCUGAAGAUGGAAUCCUGGCCAUCAUUGAUAACAGUCUGUACAUUUUACCAUUAUUGAAUUUAUGAUUGACUAACUAUGAAAGAAACUUUGGAAUGUGCAGUAUUAUUGUUGGAGUGUUGUGUGGUUAUCUUAGUAUAACAAGUUUAAGACUAACAAUCUCCAAGAUCUUUAGCUACUCAAAUGUUGUGCUGUAUGUCUUGUUUUGUUAGGAGUUAAAACUUGUUCUAUGUAAAGGGUGUUAGACAUACUUUAUUGUGUAUGAAAAUGAAUGGGUGUCUGGGUGUCUGACUGUCAUAAUUAAUUUAGCAUAAAAAAAAUAAUGUAAAAAGUAUCAAAAAAUGUGUAAUAUAGUCGCUGACAUUAUUAUCAAAGGAAAUAUUACAUUUCUAUGCAUGUGUCUAUGAAUCAGGCUUUUCCCCCCCAUGUUGAUGUAAACAGAUGUUGAUGGUUCAUCCAUUGAUGAACAUCAACGGAUGUUGAUGAGGGUUUCCAAAUGAACUCUGCCUCCCAACUCGCCCUCUCAUCCGACCUUUCUGCGGGAGUAUGUCUGGAAUUCCGCUAGUUCUGAACUAUUCAUGAUUGGCAAAAGUUCACUACUAGCAGAACUCGGAUUUGCACCCGGCUCUCAGCUAUUUAGACUGCCCUCCAAGGGGCACCGGACACCUGGUAUGUUCUGACACUGAAAAAUAAACAUUAAAUUGAUGCAUUCAAAAGACUCCAUGCAUAAGGAAUUCAGACCAUGCCAUUUGUGUGAAGACAACAAGGACAGCUUUUGUAUGUGAUCAGUACCUUGUUUUCUUCUCACAGUUUUAUGGUUUUAAUCCCUUAGAGUUUAACUAACGAAUCCAGCUAUGAUGAAGAUACUGUUAUAAGAUACUAAAUAUUUCUUUUAUUCAUGCAGUUAAUUUGUUUUAGGUACUGGAAAAUAAUUGCACUUCAGAAAUAUUCUGCACUGGAUUGGCUAUGCCAGUAACCUUGUCGAGCUACUUGUUGGUAAUGUCAAACCUUCUAUCAUUUUGUACAUUUUGAGAGCAUGCAGUGUUAUUAGAUUGCACCGCCGAAACUAGGCUACAAGUGUCUACAAAUGAUUUAAGUAACCACAAACAAUGUUACUGUUGUGUUUACAGUGGGAUAGGAUCAUCCUUGAUCAAUUUAUAUGCCAUGGUAAUCUCUGUUGAAUUAUUUUAAUUCAUAAAAUGGCUGCAACU
This is a long non-coding RNA of Alosa sapidissima (American shad), 1430 nucleotides long. RefSeq lists it as uncharacterized. The transcript is spliced from 4 exons. NCBI's taxonomy places the organism in Eukaryota, Metazoa, Chordata, Actinopteri, Clupeiformes, Clupeidae. The record is from RefSeq and is a predicted model, not a curated record.